AUUGAACGCUGGCGGCAGGCCUAACACAUGCAAGUCGGACGGUAGCACAGAGAGCUUGCUCUCGGGUGACGAGUGGCGGACGGGUGAGUAAUGUCUGGGGAUCUGCCCGAUAGAGGGGGAUAACCACUGGAAACGGUGGCUAAUACCGCAUAACGUCGCAAGACCAAAGAGGGGGACCUUCGGGCCUCUCACUAUCGGAUGUACCCAGAUGGGAUUAGCUAGUAGGCGGGGUAACGGCCCACCUAGGCGACGAUCCCUAGCUGGUCUGAGAGGAUGACCAGCCACACUGGAACUGAGACACGGUCCAGACUCCUACGGGAGGCAGCAGUGGGGAAUAUUGCACAAUGGGCGCAAGCCUGACGCAGCCAUGCCGCGUGUAUGAAGAAGGCCUUCGGGUUGUAAAGUACUUUCAGCGGGGAGGAAGGCGAUGUGGUUAAUAACCGCAUUGAUUGACGUUACCCGCAGAAGAAGCACCGGCUAACUCCGUGCCAGCAGCCGCGGUAA
Molecule: ribosomal RNA, 504 nt
Filed under: uncultured bacterium
Lineage: Bacteria
Description: partial 16S ribosomal RNA
Rfam family: Bacterial small subunit ribosomal RNA
Source: RNAcentral